AUUGCUUUUAGACUACCAUGCUUAGGUUCCAGAUUUUCUUUGUUCCCCUACCUUGGAGAAAUUUAAUUUCCAAGUAGAAAAGUCUUUCCUAUUAUAUUAUAUAUAAUUUUCUUGUAUAUAUAACUACAUAUUUCUAGCUACUUGUUAGAAAUAUUGAAUCUACCAUUUGGCAGCAUGGAGCUUCUGCAACUUUUGUUCCUAAUCUCCAUUGCCACAACCACAACCUUGUGCUUGUCUACCACAAAUCAGGAUUAUUCAUUGAAAAAGCAGAUAGUUGGGCUCGCCAAUGAGUUUCACACAGUAAAUUGGAUGAAGAAUGUGAGGAGAGAAAUCCAUGAAAACCCAGAACUUGCAUAUGAAGAAUUCAAAACAAGUGCACUCAUUAGGCGCGAGCUUGACAAGCUUGGUGUUGCAUAUACAUGGCCUGUGGCGCAUACUGGUGUGGUGGCCACUAUUGGCUCUGGCUCUCCUCCCUUUGUUGCUCUGAGAGCAGAUAUGGAUGCUUUGCCCAUUCAGUGCAGUGUUCAAUUUGAUGUUCUUAAUCAAAAAGAACUUUAUAUAUUUAUAAAUUUUUCAUCUUUUUUCGGUCACCUUAUAAAUCUACUAUCACAUUGUUACAGGGAACAGUUGUUCUUAUAUUUCAACCAGCUGAGGAACGCGGCAUAGGUGCGAAGGACAUGAUCAAAGAAGGGGUGCUUGAUAAUGUGGAGGCCAUCUUUGGGUUGCACGUAGUGCAUAGAUAUCCAAGUGGUGUUGUUGCAUCAAGGCCUGGAGAAUUUCUAGCUGGUUGUGGGAGCUUCAAAGCAAAGAUUCAUGGAAAAGGGGGUCAUGCAGCAAUUCCUCAACAAUCCAUUGAUCCAAUUGUGGCAGCAUCAGCAUCAGUGAUUAGCUUGCAAAACAUCGUCUCGAGAGAGGCAGACCCUUUAGAUUCCCAGGUGGUUUCUGUAGCUAUGAUUCAAGCAGGGACUUCAUUUAACAUCAUCCCGGAAUCAGCUACAAUUUCCGGUACUUUUAGAGCUUUUAGCAAGAAGAGCUUCAAUGCAAUCAGGGAAAGAAUAGAAGAGGUUGUAAAAGGGCAGGCAGCUGUACAUAGGUGCUCUGCUGAGAUUGAAUUCUUAGGAAAUGAACAUCCUAGCAUCCCCCCUACUAUAAACGAUGAGAGAAUUUACGAACAAGCAAGACGCAUUUCAACCGAAAUAGUAGGAAAAGAAAACACAAAAUUAGCUCCUACCUUCAUGGGGAGUGAGGAUUUUGCUUUCUACUUGGAUAAGGUACCUGGGUCAAUGCUAUUUUUAGGCACAGGAAAUGAAAAGAAAGGAGCCAUAUAUGCGCCACAUAGUCCUUACUUUUUCAUUGAUGAGGAUGUGCUUCCUAUUGGUGCUGCAAUACAUGCAGCUUUUGCCCAUUCUUACCUAUCAGAUUCAACUGGGAAGUUGCACCUUCAUAUCUGAAAGUCCCUUCUUCUUAGUUACUCCAAUUAUUUCAUUAAAUGUGAAGUAUACAACUUACUUGUUCCUCCAUUGGUGUUUCUUCAAGCUGGAUGGUGGAAGUUCUACAGAGACUUGCCGGUUAUGUAUAUAUUUAUGAUUUAAAUUCAUAUCACAAGUUCAGUCUGUUUCACAAAUCAGCUCACUUAUACGUUCAUCUCAAUUGGUCUUGUUAACCAAAUCCUUGAUAUCUCCACCAGAUGGUAAAUGAAGUUUUUCCUUCUUUCUUUUA
This is a non-coding RNA of Prunus mume (Japanese apricot), 1719 nucleotides long. The record is from RefSeq and is a predicted model, not a curated record. NCBI's taxonomy places the organism in Eukaryota, Viridiplantae, Streptophyta, Magnoliopsida, Rosales, Rosaceae.